Molecule: ribosomal RNA, 301 nt
Filed under: uncultured bacterium
Lineage: Bacteria
Description: partial 16S ribosomal RNA
Rfam family: Bacterial small subunit ribosomal RNA
Source: RNAcentral
CAGCAGCCGCGGUAAAACGAAGGGUGCAAGCGUUAAUCGGAAUGACUGGGCGUAAAGGGCGCGUAGGCGGUUUUGACAGUCAGAUGUGAAAUUCCUGGGCUUAACCUGGGGGCUGCAUUUGAGACGUCAAGACUAGAGUGUGAGAGAGGGUUGUGGAAUUCCCAGUGUAGAGGUGAAAUUCGUAGAUAUUGGGAAGAACACCGGUGGCGAAGGCGGCAACCUGGCUCAUUACUGACGCUGAGGCGCGAAAGCGUGGGGAGCAAACAGGAUUAGAUACCCCCGUAGUCCCUGUCUCUUAUAC